ACUCUGUGGAUGCGGAUGAGCAGCAGACAAGCUGUGGCCCAACAACGGGUUCAUACUAUACGGAAAACUGAAGCGCUGCAGAUCUGGCAUGAACGGCGGCUUAUUGAACAAAAUGCGACAGCGUUUCAACAACAAACGGCACAGUUGUUUGUGGUAGGGUAUAAUCCUGUUAUGGAUGCUAAAGAAUUCUGGGACAAGUUUAGAAAGGUUUGAACAUUCCAUUCUUACACUAGACAUUUAGAUCCAACACUGCGGUUAUGCCCCUAAGCAACGAAAUUUAGGCACCAUUACUCAAUGGAAACCACUAGACUAUGUGGAUAACUUCUAUAAACUCCAGUAAUGGCAGUUAAAAGUUUUUGCAUUAUUCAAAGGCUACUACUUAAGUUUUUACACAUACAAAAAAAAAAAACCACAAUUGUGCACCAAGUGAUAAUUUUUUUGAUGCUGUAUUGUACCACAAGUACUUGGCAGUUGUAUAUUCAGACAUCACAGGGACAUACAUUGUGGCAAGAGAACUAGCACUAAUCGAAGAAAAACCUUAAAUUUAGAUAACGGUCAGGUUUCACUGUUAGCACCUGGAACAAGACAAAAGCUCAUUUCAAUGUUGGACUGCAAAUGGCAGAAUAUACACAUGUACUGAUUCAUGUUUGAGAUGCAGCUCUGCUAGUUAAGUAAAGACGAGUAACAGAACCAAUAGAAGGAAUGCAUGAGCAUUCAGGAUUUGGAACACUUUCUGGUGGAACAGAGGCUACAGGUGAGGAAGUUGGAACUAAAGUACAGAACUUGAAAACCUUAUGUAUUUACCAGUGCACAUCUCCCCAGACCACAUACUUGCCAGUCAUUUAUUUUUAAGCAUCAAGUUAGUAAUAAAGAAUUACAUUUGAUGUACCACAAGAGACAGCAGUUCUCACAGAGGACUUUUAUUCCAUCACAAGUUUUAGCAGACUAAUGCCUUCAAUAUUUUUAUAUUUAUUUAUCCUCACACAAACAGAACAGGGCUUUUCCAUAUAAAAAAAUAAUUGGUCUACAACUUGGAGCAUGGCACUUCAAGCAGUUUGUAACCAGGUGGGAUUUACUCCUUGGAUGCCAUGUAGGCCAUCAGGUCACA
This is a long non-coding RNA of Tachysurus fulvidraco (yellow catfish), 1108 nucleotides long. RefSeq lists it as uncharacterized. The record is from RefSeq and is a predicted model, not a curated record. NCBI's taxonomy places the organism in Eukaryota, Metazoa, Chordata, Actinopteri, Siluriformes, Bagridae. The transcript has 2 exons.